GGUUAAAACUCAAAUGAAUUGACGGGGGACCCGCACAAGCGGUGGAGCAUGUGGUUUAAUUCGAUGCAACGCGAAAACCUUACCUACUCUUGACAUCCUUGGAAUCUCUUGUAAUGAGAGAGUGCCUUUUGGAACCAAGUGACAGGUGCUGCAUGGCUUGUCGUCAGCUCGUGUCGUGAGAUGUUCCGUUAAGUCGGAUAACGAGCGCAACCCUUACCCUUAUUUGCCAGCGGUUCGGCCGGGAACUAUAAGGGGACUGCCGGUGAUAAACCGGAGGAAGGUGAGGACGACGUCAAGUCAUCAUGGCCCUUACGAGUAGGGCUACACACGUGCUACAAUGGGAAGUACAGAGGGACGCCAAAGCGCGAGCUGGAGCUAAUCUCAUAAAACUUUUCGUAGUCCGGAUUGCAGUCUGCAACUCGACUGCAUGAAGUCGGAAUCGCUAGUAAUCGCGGAUCAGCACGCCGCGGUGAAUACGUUCUCGGGUCUUGUACACACCGCCCGUCACACCAUGGGAGUGUAUUGCACCAGAAGUAGGUAGUCUAACCUUCGGGAGGGCGCUUACCACGGUGUGAUCCAUGACUGGGGUG
This 590-nucleotide ribosomal RNA is filed under the name uncultured bacterium ECS33. Its description in RNAcentral is "bacterial SSU rRNA". It matches the Rfam family "Bacterial small subunit ribosomal RNA", at positions 892 to 1482 of the family's 1533-position model. The record is from RNAcentral.